This 463-nucleotide ribosomal RNA is filed under the name uncultured Pseudomonas sp. RNAcentral describes it as "bacterial SSU rRNA". It matches the Rfam family "Bacterial small subunit ribosomal RNA", at positions 233 to 688 of the family's 1533-position model. Lineage: Bacteria; Pseudomonadati; Pseudomonadota; Gammaproteobacteria; Pseudomonadales; Pseudomonadaceae. The record is from RNAcentral.
AGGUCGGAUUAGCUAGUUGGUGGGGUAAAGGCCUACCAAGGCGACGAUCCGUAACUGGUCUGAGAGGAUGAUCAGUCACACUGGAACUGAGACACGGUCCAGACUCCUACGGGAGGCAGCAGUGGGGAAUAUUGGACAAUGGGCGAAAGCCUGAUCCAGCCAUGCCGCGUGUGUGAAGAAGGUCUUCGGAUUGUAAAGCACUUUAAGUUGGGAGGAAGGGCAGUAAGUUAAUACCUUGCUGUUUUGACGUUACCAACAGAAUAAGCACCGGCUAACUUCGUGCCAGCAGCCGCGGUAAUACGAAGGGUGCAAGCGUUAAUCGGAAUUACUGGGCGUAAAGCGCGCGUAGGUGGUUCAGCAAGUUGGAUGUGAAAUCCCCGGGCUCAACCUGGGAACUGCAUCCAAAACUACUGAGCUAGAGUACGGUAGAGGGUGGUGGAAUUUCCUGUGUAGCGGUGAAAUG